Molecule: ribosomal RNA, 290 nt
Filed under: uncultured archaeon
Lineage: Archaea
Description: partial 16S ribosomal RNA
Rfam family: Archaeal small subunit ribosomal RNA
Source: RNAcentral
ACUUUACAAUGCGGGCAACCGUGAUAAGGGAACCUCGAGUGCCUGUACAUGCAGGCUGUUCAGGUGUCUAAAACACACCUGAAGAAAGGGCCGGGCAAGACCGGUGCCAGCCGCCGCGGUAACACCGGCGGCUCGAGUGGUAACCGUUAUUAUUGGGUCUAAAGGGUCUGUAGCCGGCCGGAUAAGUCUCUUGAGAAAUCUGGCAGCUUAACUGUCAGGCUUUCAGGAGAUACUGUCUGGCUCGAGGCCGGGAGAGGUGAGAGGUACUUCGAGGGGGUAGGGGUGAAAUC